Molecule: ribosomal RNA, 694 nt
Filed under: uncultured bacterium
Lineage: Bacteria
Description: bacterial SSU rRNA
Rfam family: Bacterial small subunit ribosomal RNA
Source: RNAcentral
AACGCUAGCUACAGGCUUAACACAUGCAAGUCGCGGGGCAGCAUUUUCCUAGCUUGCUAGGGAAGAUGGCGACCGGCGCACGGGUGAGUAACGCGUAUCCAACCUUCCCAUGUCCACGGGAUAGCCCGUCGAAAGGCGGAUUAAUACCGUAUGAGGUCACAUGCGGGCAUCUAAUUGUGACGAAAGGUUUUGCGGACAUGGAUGGGGAUGCGUCCGAUUAGCUUGUUGGCGGGGUAACGGCCCACCAAGGCGACGAUCGGUAGGGGUUCUGAGAGGAAGGUCCCCCACAUUGGAACUGAGACACGGUCCAAACUCCUACGGGAGGCAGCAGUGAGGAAUAUUGGUCAAUGGACGCAAGUCUGAACCAGCCAAGUAGCGUGCAGGAUGACGGCCCUAUGGGUUGUAAACUGCUUUUGUACGGGGAUAAAGUGAGCCACGUGUGGUUUAUUGCAGGUACCGUACGAAUAAGGACCGGCUAAUUCCGUGCCAGCAGCCGCGGUAAUACGGAAGGUCCGGGCGUUAUCCGGAUUCAUUGGGUUUAAAGGGAGCGUAGGCCGCCCCUUAAGCGUGUUGUGAAAUGCCGCGGCUCAACCGUGGCACUGCAGCGCGAACUGGGGGGCUUGAGUGCGCGCAGCGAAGGCGGAAUUCGUGGUGUAGCGGUGAAAUGCUUAGAUAUCACGAAGAACUCCGAUUG